This 73-nucleotide transfer RNA is filed under the name Minisyncoccota bacterium. RNAcentral's name for it is "tRNA-Thr". It matches the Rfam family "tRNA". Rfam says of the family: Transfer RNA (tRNA) molecules are approximately 80 nucleotides in length. Their secondary structure includes four short double-helical elements and three loops (D, anti-codon, and T loops). The record is from RNAcentral. Lineage: Bacteria; Bacillati; Minisyncoccota.
GCCUCUGUAGCUCAACUGGUAGAGCGCGACAUUUGUAAUGUCGAUGUUGGGGGUUCAAGUCCUCUCGGAGGCU